Molecule: ribosomal RNA, 514 nt
Filed under: uncultured bacterium
Lineage: Bacteria
Description: bacterial SSU rRNA
Rfam family: Bacterial small subunit ribosomal RNA
Source: RNAcentral
AGUAAUUGAUCUUGGUCAGGAUGAACGCUAGCGGCAGGCUUAACACAUGCAAGUCGAGGGGCAUCGGGAGUAGCAAUACUUGCCGGCGACCGGCGCAAGGGUGCGUAACGCGUGAGCAACAUGCCCGUAUCAGGGGGAUAAUCCAUGGAAACGUGGUCUAAUACCCCAUAGUAAUUAUGUAAGGCAUCUUAUAUAAUUUAAAGCUUUGGUGGAUACGGAUUGGCUCGCGUGACAUUAGCUAGAUGGUAAGGUAACGGCUUACCAUGGCUACGAUGUCUAGGGGUUCUGAGAGGAAGGCCCCCCACACUGGAACUGAGACACGGUCCAGACUCCUACGGGAGGCAGCAGUGAGGAAUAUUGGACAAUGGAUGGAAAUCUGAUCCAGCCAUGCCGCGUGCAGGAAGACGGCCCUAUGGGUUGUAAACUGCUUUUGUAUGGGAGCAAUAAGGGCUACGCGUAGUCCGAUGAGAGUACCAUACGAAUAAGCACCGGCUAACUCCGUGCCAGCCGCGGC